Molecule: ribosomal RNA, 301 nt
Filed under: uncultured bacterium
Lineage: Bacteria
Description: partial 16S ribosomal RNA
Rfam family: Bacterial small subunit ribosomal RNA
Source: RNAcentral
CAGUAGCCGCGGUAAUACGUAGGUGGCAAGCGUUAUCCGGAAUUAUUGGGCGUAAAGCGCGCGUAGGCGGUUUCUUAAGUCUGAUGUGAAAGCCCACGGCUCAACCGUGGAGGGUCAUUGGAAACUGGGAAACUUGAGUGCAGAAGAGGAAAGUGGAAUUCCAUGUGUAGCGGUGAAAUGCGCAGAGAUAUGGAGGAACACCAGUGGCGAAGGCGACUUUCUGGUCUGUAACUGACGCUGAUGUGCGAAAGCGUGGGGAUCAAACAGGAUUAGAUACCCCCGUAGUCCCUGUCUCUUAUAC